GCGGAGGGACAUUAUAGAGUUUUCUAAACUCCCAACCCAUGUGAACUUACCUUUUGUUGCCUCGGCAGAAGUUAUAGGUCUUCUUAUAGCUGCUGCCGGUGGACCAUUAAACUCUUGUUAUUUUAUGUAAUCUGAGCGUCUUAUUUUAAUAAGUCAAAACUUUCAACAACGGAUCUCUUGGUUCUGGCAUCGAUGAAGAACGCAGCGAAAUGCGAUAAGUAAUGUGAAUUGCAGAAUUCAGUGAAUCAUCGAAUCUUUGAACGCACAUUGCGCCCAUUAGUAUUCUAGUGGGCAUGCCUGUUCGAGCGUCAUUUCAACCCUUAAGCCUAGCUUAGUGUUGGGAAUCUACUUCUYUUAKKAGUUGUAGUUCCUGAAAUACAACGGCGGAUUUGUAGUAUCCUCUGAGCGUAGUAAUUUUUUUCUCGCUUUUGUUAGGUGCUAUAACUCCCAGCCGCUAAACCCCCAAUUUUUUGUGGUUGACCUCGGAUCAGGUAGGAAUACCCGCUGAACUUAAGCAUAUCAAUAAGCGGAGGAAAAGAAACCAACAGGGAUUGCCUUAGUAACGGCGAGUGAAGCGGCAACAGCUCAAAUUUGAAAUCUGGCCCUUGGGUCCGAAUUGUAAUUUGUAGAGGAUGAUUUUGGUGCGGUAUCUUCCGAGUUCCUUGGAACAGGACGCCUUAGAGGGUGAGAGCCCCGUACGGUUGAAUGCCUAGCCUCUGUAAAUCUCCUUCGACGAGUCGAGUAGUUUGGGAAUGCUGCUCUAAAUGGGAGGUAAAUUUCUUCUAAAGCUAAAUAUUGGCCAGAGACCGAUAGCGCACAAGUAGAGUGAUCGAAAGAUGAAAAGCACUUUGAAAAGAGGGUUAAAUAGCACGUGAAAUUGUUGAAAGGGAAGGAUUUGUGACCAGACUUUUUCUGGGCGGAUCAUCCGGGGUUCUCUCCGGUGCACUUCGCCCAGUAAAGGCCAGCAUCGGUUUUCGGCGUGGGAUAAAAGCAGUAGGAAUGUGGCUCUCUACGGGGAGUGUUAUAGCCUAUUGUAUAAUACCGCGCUGGGGACCGAGGUUCGCGCUUCUGCAAG
This 1075-nucleotide ribosomal RNA is filed under the name fungal endophyte. RNAcentral's name for it is "eukaryotic LSU rRNA". Lineage: Eukaryota; Fungi. The record is from RNAcentral.